This 252-nucleotide ribosomal RNA is filed under the name uncultured bacterium. RNAcentral describes it as "partial 16S ribosomal RNA". It matches the Rfam family "Bacterial small subunit ribosomal RNA", at positions 524 to 776 of the family's 1533-position model. The record is from RNAcentral.
UACGUAGGGGGCAAGCGUUGUCCGGAUUUAUUGGGCGUAAAGAGCGUGUAGGCGGCUAGAUAGGUCCGUUGUGAAAACUCGAGGCUCAACCUCGAGACGUCGAUGGAAACCAUCUGGCUAGAGUCCGGAAGAGGAGAGUGGAAUUCCUGGUGUAGCGGUGAAAUGCGCAGAUAUCAGGAAGAACACCCGUGGCGAAGGCGGCUCUCUGGACGUGACUGACGCUGAGACGCGAAAGCGUGGGGAGGCAACAGG